CAGCCAACGAGCGUGGCCGAGGUAGCCAGGCCCUGUCCUAGGCACCCAGCCAGUCGAAAGUGGAGCCAGGGCCAGCCCUGCCCCCGAAGAGAUUAGGAUGACCAGAAAGGAACCGGGUUGAACGCCGGUUGAGGCAGAAAUAAUGGCAGAGCGGCCAGGCUGGAAGCAGGCCGCAUUCAGAAAUGUUGGAUUCCGACAAAAUGCGCAUCUCAGAAUCAAAGCAACACAAGAUAAUCAAGUCUUCAGAGGACAGCCUGUCCCAUGGAGGCCAGACUCUGCGUGAAAUCCACAGAAUCAGGCAAGCUCCCCGUGUCCCGUAGAUGGCCAAGGCAAGGAGCACCUGAGCUGUCACAGGGUUCUCCGGCGCUGCCCAUCUCCCAGGGUCACCUUCCACGCCAACCAUAUGGCUCAAGUGGUCCCAGCUCAUCCCUUAAGGUACCUAGGGAAACCUCUGGUUGAAGGGACCUCAAAGACCCACCUGACCCAGCCCAGCUCUCACCUAGUAAAGCCUGGCCGCCCCCAGCACCCCAGCAUCCCUCCUGACGGCUGUCCAGAGCUGGCUGGCACCUCCAGGGAAGGGAGGUGGUUGUGAUGGUCACCACCUCCCAGGGCACUGCCAGGCAGGGAAAUCUGAUGAUGUGGGAAGGGGCGAGAACAGGAUGCGUAUAUGGGGACAAAACCCAUCUAGAGUUUAGAUACUUGCGAGCGCCUCUGGUGACAACGGGGGAUGCGGGGAGAGUGGACACGCACACGAACAGGCUUCAGAAGCCACGUCUGGGGAGCCGCAGGAUUACCUGACGAUUCUUCUAAAGCACUUGGGAUUUUUUAAAAGCCUGAGUCCUGCUGAAAGACAGCACAGCUCUAGACUCCAGAACAAGGUCCGUAAGACGUCUCAUCCAUCCUGUGUCACUACUCGCCUUGUGUGUGGGUGUUUUGUUUCUCUUCUAAACCUCUUGCCACACUGUACAAUGACAAUUAUUUCUUUCCCCUUAGACUACACAGCACCAGGCAAGGAACAUGUGGCCCCUCUUCCUGAGGGGGAUCCAGAGCCUCUGUGGCCUCCAUGCCAAAGGCAAAACAGACUUUCCAUCAAUGUGGGUGGUUCAUGAGGCCAAAAUUUUUCAAUCUCACAAAUCGUAUUUUUCUCGCCUUUCAAUAUUAUAUUGGGGAUUCCAUGGGUUUCUAACGCUUGCCACUCACUCAACCUAAUAACUGGUUAUAUUAAUAUCUCCCAUAUUCUCCUUCUAUUUACUCUCGCUUGGGAGUUGACAAACUGGUAGCAAAGGGACUCCUCUAACACGCUCACAUAAUCACUGCCGCCUCCCCUGCCCCAGGGAAGGGGCUUCAUAUAUGCCUGGGAGGUGAACAAGGAGACCAGCCCCGCCAGCUCCUGCUAAGAGGAUGGCAUUGUCAUCCACCUGCUCGAAGCAAGUUUCCAGGACACGAGGAGCCCCUGUGUGAUAUGGACUGCAUGGCCCUGCCAAGGUUAACGCUGUUUAAUUACCCAGCAUUUUAAAAUCAUCAUGUCCCAAUCACAUAAAACUCAUCUGCCAGUAACUUCUAGAAUUCGACACAUUUCUGCAGGUCAUCGGGACUCCUGGGAACUUGAACCAAGCCAGACGUGCAGCCACCUGCUUGUGAAUCCCCCCUACUUGGGUGGAGUGGUGAGGAGCCUGACUCAGCAGGAAACACCCCUUUGCCAUCUGAAGAAUGGCCUUGGGGACACACGUGUGCACCCUGGACACCCCCAUCAGCGAACUCGGGUUUACCUGCCACGGCAGGUACAAGGAGAAUAAUUUUCCAAAAUGCUCCAACGGGGCGAUCUGUCACAAAUGACAAGUCAAAAAAGGAUGAUGGACGGUGGCUCCUCGCUCAGAAGCAUGCAUCAGCUCCUCCCCUCCACGUCGGUCCCUUCCAGCUGCCAUCGCCCCAGGUCAGGACUGUGCCACCUCUUCCCCUCGAUGACCGACGACCGUACAGCCUCCCUGGCUUGUCCAACCAUGUGUCGAACCCCGAGCGGAUGUGUGCUGUAUGUUAAGCACUAGAAUGUCCUUGUCCCACCUUCACCUGCCAACAGUGGAAAAUGGCUCAUCCCAGAACCUCAACAUCAGAAGGAUCCACUUCAGGGAUUUGUUUUCAAGGAUUUUUAAAAGACUCAUCCUUUCAAAAAAAUAUUCUCCCUCAGACUCCUCAAAGAAUGACACUCCAAGACUAAAGUAUAGUGGCAAGAAGUGCACAUUUGGGUGAAAGAAUUUUUUUUGAUAUUUUAUUUUUUAAGAUUUUAUUUAUUUGUUCAUGAGAGACACACAGAGAGAGGCAGAGACACAGGCAGAGGGAGAAGCAGGCUCCCUGCGGGGAACCCAAUACAGAGCUCGAUCCCAGAACCCCAGGAUCACGCCCUGAGCCGAAGGCAGACACUCAAUCACUGAGUCACCCAGGCGUCCCUAUUUUAUUUAUUUAUUUGAGAAGACAGAGAGCACACAAGCAGGGGGAAGGAAAGGGAGAAGCAGACUCCCCGCUGAGCGAGGAGCCAGAUGUGGAGCUCAAUCCUGAGACUCCGGGAUCAUGACCCAAGCCAAAGGCAAACGCUCACCCACUGAGUCACCCAGGCACCCCUGAGUCAUAGGACUUUACAGAAAUACAAAGAACUGACUGCCAUAAAAGCCAGGCGAGUGGUUACUUCUGGAAGGAGGAAGGGGUCUGUGACCAAAUGGGGCGUCCAGGGUGGCUAGCAAAGUUCCAUCUCUAGACCCAACUUCUAAAAAUCCCUUCAGCCCUAAAUUGGUUUGUGGGGCAUCUGUAUCUGCUUUUCAUUUUACAAUAAAACAGUUCACCCCUU
This is a long non-coding RNA of Nyctereutes procyonoides (raccoon dog), 2839 nucleotides long. RefSeq lists it as uncharacterized. NCBI's taxonomy places the organism in Eukaryota, Metazoa, Chordata, Mammalia, Carnivora, Canidae. The record is from RefSeq and is a predicted model, not a curated record. The transcript is spliced from 2 exons.